Capsicum annuum is the source of this 612-nucleotide long non-coding RNA. RefSeq lists it as uncharacterized. The transcript has 2 exons. The record is from RefSeq and is a predicted model, not a curated record. NCBI's taxonomy places the organism in Eukaryota, Viridiplantae, Streptophyta, Magnoliopsida, Solanales, Solanaceae.
AGCCUUCCAUGAAGGAAGAAACAUUAAUAAUUACACAUAAAUUAAUAUUUUAUAUAUUUUAAAUCUAUCUAGCUUUGAGCCAAAUUAAUUAAAAUGGCCUCCUUUAAGCAAGUUUUUCUCUUCACUGCUCUCUUUAUUGCAAUUUCAGGCAAUCUCUCUUUGGGUCCUAAAAAGAUGCAAGUGAUGGCAUUACGAGACUUGUCCACUGAUGUUGCAGAGAUGAAAGGGAAAUUAUUUCGACUUGAAGACAUAACUACUUGUGGGAAACAAUGCAAGGUCCGUACUGAUUGUCAAGAAGGUUUUAUCUGUUCAAACUGUAUCACAUUUGGGUCGUUUUCACAAUGCGUAUAAUAAGCGUGUUGUUACUGGUGAAGUAUCCUUGGAGCGUGCAGAUUAUAAUUACUCCGCACAAAGAAUGGAUGUAACUACUAUUAUAUGCUUGAUAUGCCUUUGUGUAUAUUCAAACAAUUUAAAUAAUGUUGUGUUUCCAAGUUUGUAUAAUAAGAAAAUAAAUAUGUAACCUAGCUAGUUUCCCAAAUAUUGGGAAACUAUCUACCUAUCGUAAUAUAUGAGUUACAACUUAAAUAAAUAUAUAUUGUUUACUUGUCUUCA